This 508-nucleotide ribosomal RNA is filed under the name uncultured bacterium. RNAcentral's name for it is "partial 16S ribosomal RNA". It matches the Rfam family "Bacterial small subunit ribosomal RNA", at positions 28 to 507 of the family's 1533-position model. The record is from RNAcentral.
GACGAACGCUGGCGGCGUGCCUAAUACAUGCAAGUCGAACGCUUCUUUCCUCCCUAGUGCUUGCACUCAAUUGGAAAGAGGAGUGGCGGACGGGUGAGUAACACGUGGGUAACCUACCCAUCAGAGGGGGAUGACACUUGGAAACAGGUGCUAAUACCGCAUAACAGUUUAUGCCGCAUGGCAUAAGAGUGAAAGGCGCUUUCGGGUGUCGCUGAUGGAUGGACCCGCGGUGCAUUAGCUAGUUGGUGAGGUAACGGCUCACCAAGGCCACGAUGCAUAGCCGACCUGAGAGGGUGAUCGGCCACACUGGGACUGAGACACGGCCCAGACUCCUACGGGAGGAAGCAGUAGGGAAUCUUCGGCAAUGGACGAAAGUCUGACAGAGCAACGCCGCGUGAGUGAAGAAGGUGUUCGGAUCGUAAAACUCUGUUGUUAGAGAAGAACAAGGACGUUAGUAACUGAACGUCCCCUGACGGUAUCUAACCAGAAAGCCACGGCUAACUACGUG